UAGGCUCAUUGACUUUGUCCUAGAAGAUGCAAGUGAGAAUCAACUACACUGUACAGUUUGGGAUGCUCAUGUGGAUCAGCUGCUCCCUCAUUUCAAUUCUACCUCAAUUGAGCCAGUCGUUCUAUUGUUGCAGUUAUGCAGACCCAGGUUUCUAGACAAUAAGUAAUAUGCUCCUAAAUAAUUUUUUUUUUGUCCUGAUUUCAUAAUCACAAAUCAUAUCAAGUGAAGGUAAAAUAAAAGUAUUGGUUACCUGUUGAAAUGGUUUAUUUGUUCUAAUCCAUCUAUUCUUGGUUGUCAAUCUUUCCCAUCCUCAUCCUUUGUAGUGUUCUGUCUGCAAUAACAAAGUAAGAAUGUUAGACUUUUAA
Molecule: long non-coding RNA, 365 nt
Organism: Ipomoea triloba (trilobed morning glory)
Lineage: Eukaryota; Viridiplantae; Streptophyta; Magnoliopsida; Solanales; Convolvulaceae
Exons: 2
Source: RefSeq, a predicted model, not a curated record